GCCGAAGUAGCUCAGUUGGUAGAGCAGCUGAUUCGUAAUCAGCAGGUCGUCGGUUCAAGUCCGACUUUCGGCUCCA
RNAcentral lists this transfer RNA (76 nucleotides) under Occallatibacter sp. RNAcentral describes it as "tRNA-Thr". It matches the Rfam family "tRNA". From Rfam's summary of the family: Transfer RNA (tRNA) molecules are approximately 80 nucleotides in length. Lineage: Bacteria; Pseudomonadati; Acidobacteriota; Terriglobia; Terriglobales; Acidobacteriaceae. The record is from RNAcentral.